RNAcentral lists this unclassified non-coding RNA (328 nucleotides) under soil metagenome. Its description in RNAcentral is "partial contains 5.8S ribosomal RNA, internal transcribed spacer 2, and large subunit ribosomal RNA". The stretch from base 1 to 120 matches the Rfam family "5.8S ribosomal RNA", at positions 35 to 154 of the family's 154-position model. The record is from RNAcentral.
GAUGAAGAACGUAGCGAAAUGCGAUACGUAAUGUGAAUUGCAGAUUUCAGUGAAUCAUCGAAUCUUUGAACGCACAUUGCGCCCGCCAGUAUUCUGGCGGGCAUGCCUGUUCGAGCGUCAUUUCAACCAUCAAGCCUUCGCUUGUGUUGGGGCCCCGCGGCUGCCGCGGUCCCCUAAAUCCAGUGGCGGGCUCGUCGUCGUACCGAGCGCAGUAGACAUCCUCGCUCCGGGAACCCGACGGGUGCCGGCCGUGAAACCCCCCACAUCAAGGUUGACCUCGGAUCAGGUAGGAAUACCCGCUGAACUUAAGCAUAUCAAUAAGCGGAGG